CGACAGGCUAAUACUUAAAUUGUUGUUAACGAUAAUUAGAAUCAAGAUGUCGAAAACACCUUUAUUAUUAUUAUUAUCAAUUUUCUUGAUGAUUGGUCUCUAUUCUAGUGCAGUUGAAGGAUGUAUAGGCAACUGGUGCCAUCCUCAGCAAGGUUACAAAUGUUGUGAAGGUUAUGAGUGUAACAGUUAUUGGCUACAAGGCAGUUGCGUAACUCGGGCGGAAUAUGAAUAUUUAGCAAGGUCUCUGAGGCUAUAAAGAUGUAGAAAAAAUUGAUUAUGAUGUAUAGUUUGAUAGAAACAUACGAAAUGUGAGCCUAUAAACCCACUAAAGGUGGCUCUUUGUAAUAGUAAUAAUAAUUAGAGAAUUGAACAAAUUUAUUGGUGUUAUUACACAAUUUGUUGGUGUAAAAUUUAAUAGUAAGAGAUGGAAGAGGAAGGAUA
Microplitis demolitor is the source of this 441-nucleotide long non-coding RNA. RefSeq lists it as uncharacterized. The transcript is spliced from 3 exons. The record is from RefSeq and is a predicted model, not a curated record. NCBI's taxonomy places the organism in Eukaryota, Metazoa, Arthropoda, Insecta, Hymenoptera, Braconidae.